RNAcentral lists this ribosomal RNA (484 nucleotides) under uncultured bacterium. Its description in RNAcentral is "partial 16S ribosomal RNA". It matches the Rfam family "Bacterial small subunit ribosomal RNA", at positions 30 to 507 of the family's 1533-position model. The record is from RNAcentral.
AUUGAACGCUGGCGGCAUGCUUUACACAUGCAAGUCGAACGGCAGCGCGGGCUUCGGCCUGGCGGCGAGUGGCGAACGGGUGAGUAAUACAUCGGAACGUGCCCAGUAGUGGGGGAUAGCUCGGCGAAAGCCGGAUUAAUACCGCAUACGACCUGAUGGUGAAAGCGGGGGAUCUUCGGACCUCGCGCUAUUGGAGCGUCCGAUGGCAGAUUAGCUAGUUGGUGGGGUAAAGGCCUACCAAGGCGACGAUCUGUAGCUGGUCUGAGAGGACGACCAGCCACACUGGGACUGAGACACGGACCAGACUCCUACGGGAGGCAGCAGUGGGGAAUUUUGGACAAUGGGCGAAAGCCUGAUCCAGCAAUGCCGCGUGUGUGAUGAAGGCGUUCGGGUUGUAAAGAACUUUUGGCGGGAACGAAAAGGACUGUGCCAAUACCACGGUUCGAUGACGGUACCCGCAGAAUAAGCACCGGCUAACUACGUG